UACAGAGGUCCCAAGCGUUGUUCGGAUUCACUGGGCGUAAAGGGUGCGUAGGUGGUGAGGUAAGUCGGAUGUGAAAGCUCGGAGCUCAACUCCGAAAUGGCAUUGGAAACUACCUUGCUCGAGGGUUGGAGGGGGGACUGGAAUACUUGGUGUAGCAGUGAAAUGCGUAGAUAUCAGGAGGAAUACCGAUGGCGAAGGCAGGUCUCUGGGCUGACACUGACGCUCAUGCACGAAAGCGUGGGGAGCAAACAGG
Molecule: ribosomal RNA, 253 nt
Filed under: uncultured bacterium
Lineage: Bacteria
Description: partial 16S ribosomal RNA
Rfam family: Bacterial small subunit ribosomal RNA
Source: RNAcentral